AGCCGGUGGCCCAACCCCUUGUGGGAGGGAGCUGUCGAAGGUGGGACUGGCGAUUGGGACGAAGUCGUAACAAGGUAGCCGUACCGGAAGGUGCGGCUGGAUCACCUCCUUU
Molecule: ribosomal RNA, 112 nt
Filed under: Streptomyces actuosus
Lineage: Bacteria; Bacillati; Actinomycetota; Actinomycetes; Kitasatosporales; Streptomycetaceae
Also listed under: 11 other names
Description: partial 16S ribosomal RNA
Rfam family: Bacterial small subunit ribosomal RNA
Source: RNAcentral